CGAAGCUGAUCCCAGACCAUCUCACGGUCGGAACUUGCUCUGACUUUAUCCCAGUGCAAAGCCUUAAGCUUCGGUUUAGGAGUUUCCUCUGCAGGCUCAUUGGCACUGAACGUCUCUUUUAGAGUCUCUUCUGGUGAAGUCUUUGGAAGGUUUUCGGAUGGGAUCACAAAAGGAUUCGAAGGCGGCGUGAGAGGAGGUGGUCGGGACGCCUUAGGAGUCGCUUGAUUCCGUCGUGCCCAUGUCGGAAACGGUGGAGGAGGUGGCGGAGGCGGCACUCGUGCAGACACCGGAGGCUGUAGAAUCUGAGAUGAAAUGUUGGAGAUUCGUGGAGAUACAUCUAAGCUAUGGCUAAAGUCUCUAUCCGGAGAAGACGAAAGAGACGACGACGAGGCAGACUGUGGAUCGUGAGAAGCUUUCUCCGGCGGCGACUUGUGAGAAGCUUUCUCCGAACGCAAUGCAUCCAACUCGUUAAGGAAGCCUUGUCCCGGGCGCCGCCUUUGAUGUAAUAAGCCUCUUUAAAUCCAUUCUCAACCAGCAAUUCAGCCACUUUCAUGGAGUUACCAUCAAAACUGCCUUCCACAUCAAAACAUGUAAGACAAACACAAAGCAAUAUCUUAAAAAAAGUAUGAAGCUUUUGGUCUAAAUCCUUACUUGUCAAGUACACAAACAACUGUGUUCUCCGGAUCAGAGAAUCCUCCUUUAACUCUCUUCACGAACCCCGACUCAUCUUCCUCACUAUACGGAACCUGAACCGAGCUCUUACCCAGAAACUUGAGACUCGGCGACGCCAACGAGGCCAACGUCUUGUCGUCUCUGAUAUCAAGAAGCUGCGAAUCAGGCUGGCUCUUGAGCUUAAGAAACGCGUUGAUGGCGGUUAUCGGUUUAUACUUCCUCAGGUAGAAGAUCGCCGCCGGGUAGACGACGAGGUAGAUGAAUGUGCAUCCCGCCACGAAAAACGGGUACUUGUUGAAAAAGUUGUCGAUCGUGAUCAGAAUCGACUCCAGAUCGAUUUUUCCGGUGGAUUGGUCGGAGAUUGAGGUGAAGGGUUGUGUUGAUGCGAGGACAGGGGAACAGAGGAUGGUGUGAGAAAGGGUGAGAGAGAGAUUGGUUUUGGACAGAAGGUGUAGCGAAUGAGAUAUGUUGUUGAGUGGAGCUGUGCGACUUUGGUCGGAAUUUGGAGUUUGAGGAGUGGAGGGUUUGGAUAGGUUUCGCGGAGGAGAAGAUGCGAGAAUUGUCGGAAGAGACGACAUCAUAACUAAAUGGCGACGAGAGACGAUGAGUGGAAGCGCCAAGAGGAUAAGAAACAAAAUAAAGGGCUCAUUCUUGUAAAAUUGGAUAAACACUAAAAGAUGAUGUCAAAACUGUAAAUAACUACUUUUGUCAAUUAUUAAUUUACAUAAAAAAAAAAAAAAUUGAGAACUAUUAAUUUUAGAUACAAUUGCCAAAACAAUUUCCCAAUUUAUCAACAAAUUUUCCCAGCUUUUUGUCUAUACUAUUUUUAGGGCAAUUCUCUUAAAUAACAAUUUUUAAGUUUUUGUCACAAAAAUAGUCUUCAAAAAGAAAAUGACAAAAAUAGCUCCAUUUUAUUUUGAAAUUUUUAAUAUUUAUUUUUAUUUUUUUUAAAUUUGAAAUCUUAUCAUCAAAACCCCCUAAUUCUAGAUUAGUUAACCCUAGAGUCAAAAUACAUUUUUACUUUUCGAUAAAACUUAUUUUGUUUAUUUUCUUCAUUGAACGUUAUUUUGCGACAAAAACUUAGAAAGAUAUAUCUUAGAAAAUUUCUCCUAUUUUUAUCACGUUAAUUAAUGAUUUUGUCUUUUCUCUAAGUAUUUUGGUUUCAGUUAAAUAAAAAUAACAUUACAUAUGAAAGAAAUUUUAAUAGAUUAUUUAUUUUUGCUUAAGUCUUAAGAAGAGAAAAAAAAACUCUGUAUUGUCAAACACUACUGUUUUGAUUUUCCAUCUAACGACAGUGAAUUCUGAUUUAUUCAUAAAAUUUAAGAUGAACAAAUUUAAAAUGUAAACCUAUAAUAUUUUACACAAAUUUAGAAAAAAAUAAAUACUUGCGUCUCUGUUUCCCUCCUCUCUCUAUAUAUUAUGGCAAAACAAACUGGAUACAUUUUACACAACACAAAGCUGAUCCCAUCUUAAUAAACUAAUGAGAUGAGUUAUGUUCAUCGUCUGAAGAUGAAGAAGAAGAAGACUGCUUUCGUCCGAAUAGUCCAGGCAGAGGCUGUGGCAGCAUUGGGUUCACAGGAACUGGAAACUUGUGAGCAGAACUAACCAUUGUUCUUUCGUUUAUCAUCCCUACUUCUUUGCAGACUCUGUCCACUACUCCGAGGAAGUCUCGAACCACCAAGAAUAUCCUAAACGGAUGUGCUUCUUCUUUAGCCGAGUUCCCAUGGAAAUACUCUGUGAUCUCUUUCACGAGAGACAACGCUACGCUCUCUUGAGCUUGUACUCUGAUGAUGUCUUCUUCAGCUCUUUUCAGAAACGUGUUCAUCGAUUCCAAAAACCUCUCGCUACUGCUGCUGCCGCUUUCUUCUCUGACCGUUGAUUGGAUUUGGACUGCUUCGUUGAUCUUGGCAAUGCCUUGGGAAAGCUUGGAGACGUAGCUGCUGAGUACUUCCGAGUCCAUUGCCGCAGCUUUCUUGACGUUGCCAAGCUCUGAAGAUAGACUUGAUACAACUUGGAGGCCGAGUUUCCUGCAUUUGAUGUCAUCCGUUUGUGUAUUGUUGUCACCUGAGAGACGUGUGCCUUCUGCUCGGAUGAUCUCUUGAACAACGAAAUGCAAGAGAGUUGUUUUCCCAUCAGCGCCUUUGACAUCGACCAGCUUGAGGAGCGUGUCGAGCUUGAACGCAUGUGCGUCGCCUCGGUUCGUCCCAACGUUCAUGCGGUUUCCUGUCUUUAGAACCGCUUCUAGAAGCUUUAAGAACAUUCUGCUGUUCCUCAGUUCCUCACAAGCAGCCUACCCCAUAAAAGGUUUGAUUCGUUACAAACACAAAUGGUAGCAAGAGAGAGAGAAGAUAGCUUUGCUUUAUACAUUACCUCAAGAGUCUGGAAAGAGUUCUUCAGGUAUUCAACCUCGGAGUCAAAGUUAGCUACAUAGAGCAUUGCGUCAACUCUUUUAAAGGCAAAAGGGAUGUCUAGCAUUGCCUUGAGGAACUUCUCAGCAUGUCCAAGCUUUACAGGCGAAUCAUCCUUGUACUCUUUUAACCUGCGCUCUUCCUCUUUCGUUGGGGCCAUCUUGAGUAAGCUCUCUAGAAGUUCAGUCCCAAGUGUUUCGGCAUUGCCUGAAAAGCAUAACAUAACAACAAUCAUUCAGGACAUCAACUUCUUAGAUCAUAGCUAAACAAACGCAGAUGAAAUGUGAAACUAAGUAUGUGACAGCAUAGGUUACCUUCAAGAAGCGCUUCACAGACUUCUUCAAUAGUGACAUUAAGUGCACGAAGCAGGAUUGCAAUAUUCUGAGCCUUCUUAGGGUCCAAGACUCUGUUCUCUUGAUUCGGGCUUGGGAGAGCGCAUCUUGGAGUAGUCUGGCUCUGAUUUGGUUUGGAGUCUAACGACUUUGCCACAAACAACGUUUCAAUCAUCUCUUCAUCUAAUCUGCAAUCACACCAAUAAAAUUUCAACAACCAUAUUGUGACAAAGAAACUAUGAGAUUAACUCACUUGAAAGAGCUUGAACGAAGCUGAUCCCAGACCAUCUCACGGUCGGAACUUGCUCUGACUUUAUCCCAGUGCAAAGCCUUAAGCUUCGGUUUAGGAGUUUCCUCUGCAGGCUCAUUGGCACUGAACGUCUCUUUUAGAGUCUCUUCUGGUGAAGUCUUUGGAAGGUUUUCGGAUGGGAUCACAAAAGGAUUCGAAGGCGGCGUGAGAGGAGGUGGUCGGGACGCCUUAGGAGUCGCUUGAUUCCGUCGUGCCCAUGUCGGAAACGGUGGAGGAGGUGGCGGAGGCGGCACUCGUGCAGACACCGGAGGCUGUAGAAUCUGAGAUGAAAUGUUGGAGAUUCGUGGAGAUACAUCUAAGCUAUGGCUAAAGUCUCUAUCCGGAGAAGACGAAAGAGACGACGACGAGGCAGACUGUGGAUCGUGAGAAGCUUUCUCCGGCGGCGACUUGUGAGAAGCUUUCUCCGAACGCAAUGCAUCCAACUCGUUAAGGAAGCCUUGUCCCGGAGAAGAGAGUAGCUGAGACUGCAAUCCUU
This 4197-nucleotide long non-coding RNA is filed under the name Brassica napus (rape). Its description in RNAcentral is "long non-coding RNA (BNAP_LNC013674)". The record is from RNAcentral. Lineage: Eukaryota; Viridiplantae; Streptophyta; Magnoliopsida; Brassicales; Brassicaceae.